GGCUGUUACUCUGAAACCUGUCAUUAAGAAAAGGCAGACACGCCUUACGACUCAGCAAGGCAUGCAGGGACCUGCCUAUGGACAGAACUCUGAGGGUUUUCCAGGUCAUGUGAUGGACAGCUCGUGUUUGGGACAAA
Long non-coding RNA from Chelonia mydas (Green sea turtle), 137 nucleotides. RefSeq lists it as uncharacterized. The transcript has 3 exons. The record is from RefSeq and is a predicted model, not a curated record. Lineage: Eukaryota; Metazoa; Chordata; Testudines; Cheloniidae.